CUAACACAUGCAAGUCGAACGCAUCAGUGCUUCGGCGCUGAUGAGUGGCGAACGGGUGAGUAACACGUGAGUAACUUGCCUGGGGGAGGGGGAUAACCAUCUGAAAAGAUGGCUAAUACCCCAUAUUCUCCUUUAUUGCUAGAUAAAGGAGGAAAGGUAGCGUAAGCUGUCGCCCCCGGAGAGGCUCGCGUCCCAUCAGCUAGUUGGUAGGGUAAUGGCUUACCAAGGCUAUGACGGGUAGCUGGUCUGAGAGGAUGGUCAGCCACACUGGGACUGAGACACGGCCCAGACUCCUACGGGAGGCAGCAGUGAGGAAUCUUGGGCAAUGGGCGAAAGCCUGACCCAGCGACGCCGCGUGGAGGAAGAAGGUCUUCGGAUCGUAAACUCCUGUUCGGGGAGAAGAACAAGAGAGAAGUUAAUAGCUUCUCUCUCUGACGGUAUCCUCGGAGAAAGCUCCGGCUAAUUACGUGCCAGCAGCCGCGGUAAUACGUAAGGAGCGAGCGUUGUCCGGAUUUACUGGGCGUAAAGGGCUCGUAGGCGGCUUCUUAGGUCUCACGUGAAAUUCCCUGGCUCAACCGGGGAGGGUCGUGGGAAACCGGGAGGCUAGAGGGCAGGAGAGGAGAGUGGAAUUCCCGGUGUAGCGGUGAAAUGCGUAGAGAUCGGGAGGAACACCAGUGGUGAAGACGGCUCUCUGGACUGUUCCUGACGCUGAGGAGCGAAAGCCAGGGGAGCAAACCGGAUUAGAUACCCGGGUAGUCCUGGCCGUAAACGAUGGGUACUAGGUGUGGGGGGUUCGACCCCCUCCGUGCCGCAGUUAACGCAUUAAGUACCCCG
This 834-nucleotide ribosomal RNA is filed under the name uncultured bacterium. RNAcentral describes it as "bacterial SSU rRNA". It matches the Rfam family "Bacterial small subunit ribosomal RNA", at positions 48 to 871 of the family's 1533-position model. The record is from RNAcentral.